GGAUAGCUCAGCUGGUUAGAGUGUGGUGUUGAUAACGCCAAGGUUGCAGGUUCGAUCCCCGUAUGGGACA
Podarcis lilfordi (Lilford's wall lizard) is the source of this 70-nucleotide non-coding RNA. NCBI's taxonomy places the organism in Eukaryota, Metazoa, Chordata, Lepidosauria, Squamata, Lacertidae. The record is from the annotation of a GenBank genome assembly.